This 348-nucleotide unclassified non-coding RNA is filed under the name Hevea brasiliensis (rubber tree). The record is from RNAcentral. Lineage: Eukaryota; Viridiplantae; Streptophyta; Magnoliopsida; Malpighiales; Euphorbiaceae.
CAAAAAUCAUAUCAGCAAUACAAUUGGAGCAUCCCAACACAUAUAUAAUGCAAGAUGAAGAACCAUAGAAAAAUCUCAACAACAUAAUCAUAGCAAAAAAAAAAUCCCUACAAUACAAUCUCACAUAUGAUGGGUGGAGCUGAUGGGACUGAAUGAAGGGACAUCUUCAUGUGCAGCCCACAAAAUGCGUGAACAAGCAAAGAGUCUGAGAUAUGGGAAAGGUCCUUGGGUCUUCGAUGGAGAGAUGGAAUGGAACAGAGAGAUGUCGAGAGGGAGAGGGGUCCUUGGAUCUUUGCCGGAAAGAGUGAAUGGAAGAAAGAGAUGUCGAGAGGGGGAGGGGUCCGUGGG